This 549-nucleotide ribosomal RNA is filed under the name Phrynopus sp. GF-Namballe-Phr1. RNAcentral describes it as "partial 16S ribosomal RNA". It matches the Rfam family "Bacterial large subunit ribosomal RNA", at positions 1810 to 2573 of the family's 2925-position model. Lineage: Eukaryota; Metazoa; Chordata; Amphibia; Anura; Strabomantidae. The record is from RNAcentral.
CAAACAUCGCCUCUUGAGUUAUAUAAGAGGUCCAGCCUGCCCAGUGACUUUUGUUUAACGGCCGCGGUAUCCUAACCGUGCGAAGGUAGCGUAAUCACUUGUUCUUUAAAUAAGGACUAGUAUGAAAGGCAUCACGAGGGCCAAGCUGUCUCCUUUUUCUAAUCCGUGAAACUAAUCUUCCCGUGAAGAAGCGGGAAUGUUUUUAUAAGACGAGAAGACCCUAUGGAGCUUUAAAUGAACACCACCUACAUUUUAUUUUUCAAUUCCAGAAAAUCAACAAAUACAAUGACCCCCUGGCUGUAAAUUUUAGGUUGGGGCGACCGCGGAGAAAAACCUAUCCUCCUCAUUGUUAAAGAAUUUAUCCUAAACAAAAAGCAACAACUUUAUGUAUCAAUAAAAUUGACAUCUAUUGACCCAUUAUUUGAUCAACGAACCAAGUUACCCUAGGGAUAACAGCGCCAUCCACUUUAAGAGCUCAUAUCGACAAGUGGGCUUACGACCUCGAUGUUGGAUCAGGGUAUCCAAGUGGUGCAGCCGCUACUUAAGGUU